UACGUAGGUGACCAGCGUUGUCCGGAUUUACUGGGCGUAAAGAGCGCGCAGGCGGUCGUUCAAGUCGAGUGUGAAAGCCCCCGGCUCAACUGGGGAGGGUCACUCGAUACUGAUCGACUUGAAGGCAGGAGAGGGAAGCGGAAUUCCCGGUGUAGUGGUGAAAUGCGUAGAUAUCGGGAGGAACACCAGUGGCGAAGGCGACUGUCUGGACUGAUACUGACGCUGAGGCGCGAAAGCGUGGGGAGCAAACAGG
RNAcentral lists this ribosomal RNA (253 nucleotides) under uncultured bacterium. RNAcentral's name for it is "partial 16S ribosomal RNA". It matches the Rfam family "Bacterial small subunit ribosomal RNA", at positions 524 to 776 of the family's 1533-position model. The record is from RNAcentral.